GAGAAAUCAGUUUGUGAAGCUCAUAUAGCCAUACCAGGACUGUGUGUGAUUCCCCUGCCUCUGGAAGGCUAUUUUAUUUUCUGUAGAAGCUACAUUUUCUUGUUUAGCUGCAAGGAGUGCAGCAACUAUUUGGACCUCUAUUACUUAUGGUCAAUUCCUACCCCUGAUAACUACAAUGAAAUCAUACCCAGAUAACAUUUUAGAGGUUGCUAUGGGGCUAACUGUGACAUCACACAGCAUCAAAAGCAUUAACAAGACAGAAAAAGUAACAAAGAAAUACAACUGCCAGCUGCCUGAAGAGGGGACUAUAACAAAGAAGACCACAUGAGACCAGCUUUUAGUUUUCCUCUGUGGCCUGCUAAAGGCACACCAUUUUCUUAAAGUCCAGACACUGUGGGGGUUUAAAUCUGCCAUGGCCUCACAGACUUCUACUAUGUAUGUUGUAUGUCUGCUUUAUAUGCAACCUCCAAAAGUACUUGUGAUUUUAAUUCUGCCUAAAGAAGCCUCCUCCUGGAAAAAUGUGAUGAUUUCGCUAAGAAAUUGGAGCAGCACAAAGGAGAAACUCAGUAUAGGUUGUAUUUUUUUAUGGUUCACCGGGUGAAUUUUGCCAAGUAGCAGAGGAGGAAACAAAAUCAAUCCUGCAUGUACUUUCCCAGAGUAUGGAACAGAAGGGGAAUACUUACUCACCCUGUGAGAAACAACAGCUGUUGGGCUCCAAAUCCUGAUUCUUAAGGUCAUGGAAGAUGCCACAUGAUUGCUAUGCCAGACAUCUGCAAUACAGAUUUUUAUUUGGACAACAGCUAGUGAUUCCAGAAUCAUGUAUGUCUAACUGGAAGAAUACUACUAGAUCAAAUUUCUGUCAUUAUAGUCCACCUUCUGACAUUGCCUUAUAAAGAAAUAAUGCUUUCUUAAGUAUGCCGCCCCUAGCUCCAACUAGGUUAGAUGUCUGGGCUCUGCUCCAGAAUGGGACAGUCAACAGAAGAAGAUGGACAUUGCUUCUGCUCCUCUCCUGAUGCCUCCGCAGUUUUGGUAUGUGUUUUGUCUGGCCAGUUGUCUGUGUUUUUCUUCCCAUCCUCUCUAGACACACCUCCAGGAUAUCUUCCUACCAUGAGCACUCUUACCUUCAUUUUCUUGAAUUCAUUAUUCAUUCUCCAAAUCUGUGAUGUCAGUAUAGUAUAUUUUAAAAAUAAAGAUUUUUAUUUACUUGAAAGGUAGAAAGAGACAGACAGACUGACAGAGAUCUUCUAAUGAUGGGUCACACUCCAAGUGCCCACAACAGCUAAGAGUGGGCCAGGCCAAAGCCAGGAGCCAAGCCUCAAUCUGUCUGCAAAGCUGGGAGCAGGGCUGCAAGUACAUCAGGCUCACCACCUGCUGCCCACUCAAGGCGGGCAUUAACAGGAACUAGGACUUGAACAGAAACAUUCUGAAUGUGGGAUUAAGGUGUAUCUAGCAGCAUCUUUACCAAAUAUGUCAAAUUGUUUAUACUUUUUGAUCAGUUUAAGAGGCAUUUCAUGCUUUUAGUGCUAACAAUUUUACCACCAAUGAGUUUAAUGCUCCCUUGCUCCACUACACAAUAAAGAUGUGAGGAUGCGUUAAGGAUUGCACCAUCUAGAUCUCCUCUUAGCAUCUAAUACAUCACCUGCACUUCAGUAGAACACUCACUGAAGAUCUGUGAACGGGAGCCAGCACUCUGGCACAGCCAUUGGCAGUGCUGGCAUCCCAUAUGAGUGGUUUGAGCUCUGUCUGUUUCAUUUCUGAUCCAACUUCCUGCUAAUGUGCCUGGGAAAGCUGCAGAAGGUGGCCCAAGUGCUAGGGCCCUUUGCCACCACAUGGGAGACCCAGAUGAAAUUCCAGGCUUUGAAGCCAAGCCCUUUGGGGUCAUUUGGGGAGUGAAUCAGUGGAAGGAUGAUCUCUCUCUCUCUGUUUCUCCUGUUUUCUCUGUAACUUUGCCUUUCAAAUAAAUCUUUUAUUUUAAAAGAUGUUAAUGAAUAAAAUAUGUAAAAUCAAAAUUAAGCUCAAGGUUAAUUAACGUCUCUCUACAGUAACACUAGUUAAAUCUCUGUUAGGGGAGUACUGUUACAUUAUCCCCAUUGCAGAGAUGAGGAAACUGCAGUACAGAAAGGUCAACCUCAGAAGGAGUAAAGGUUGGAACUGGAUUUAAAAUAUAGAUAGAGGGCCAGUGUUGUGGUGCAGCAGGUUAAGACACCUGUGACACUGGCAUCCCAUGUGGGUGCUGGGGUUCAUGUCCCGGCUGCUCCACUUCUGAUCCAGUUCCCUGGUAAUGUGCCUGGAAAAGCAGUGGAGGGUGGCCCACAUAUUUGGACCUCUGCCAGCCACGUGGUUGAUGCAGAUGAACUCCUGGCUCCCGGCUGUGGCCUGGCUCAGCCCUGGCUGAUGCAGCCAUCUGGGGGAGUGAACCAGUGAUACAAGAACCCUCUCUGUCUCUCCCUCUCUCUCUGUAACUCUGCCUUUCAAAUAAAUGAUUAAUAAAACAAACAAACCCAACACAGAUUAACUUCAAAAUCUAGUCUUUGGGGUGGAAGCUGUGUUGCGAUGAUUAAGCUCCUUGGGAGAUUGCAUCCUAUAUUGCAGAGCCUGGGAUUGGGUCUCAUCUCUGCUUCUGAUCCAGCUUUCUGCUAAUGUUCUGGGAGGUAGCAGAUAAUGGCCCAAGUACUAGGUUCCUGCCACCCACGUGAGGAAGACCUGGAUGAAGUUCUGGGCUCUUGGCUUCAGGCUGGCACAGCCUCAGCUAUUGCAGGCAUUUCAGGAAUGAGCCAAAAGACAGAAGAUCUCUCUCCCUGCCUUUCAAGUAAAUUAAUUAAUCUUUUUAAAAAUUUCAUUUUUCCAACACAGUAUCCUGCCUCUCAACUCGAUCUUAUUCCCACACUUUCUUAUCUGAAUUCAUCUUCAUUUAUAUCUUGGUUGUCUUUUGUCUUCAGAGCAAGAGAGGACGUGCAGUUUAGCAAGGGAGGGUUGAGUAAGGAAUACAGUUUUUCUGUUAGACCUAUGGCACAACAUGUCAAGUCACUACAAAAAUAAAAUGGUAAAGUUACUCCAAGUAGGUUUAGUCCAAAAAGCUCAGCAGAACAGUCCAUUAUGCAGUUCUGUCAGCAGUAAGAAAAGACUCCAAUGAGACUAUUAUCAGAUUUGCUAGGCCUCUCUAUUAUACUGUACAGUCCUUUCUGUAGCCUCUUAAGCAUUUUUCACAUUUUAAUAAACAUUUUUGUGUCACUUUCACCACCAUCAAAAAAGAUUACAAUU
Molecule: non-coding RNA, 3261 nt
Organism: Oryctolagus cuniculus (rabbit)
Lineage: Eukaryota; Metazoa; Chordata; Mammalia; Lagomorpha; Leporidae
Source: RefSeq, a predicted model, not a curated record